UACGUAGGUGGCGAGCGUUGUCCGGAAUUACUGGGUGUAAAGGGUGCGUAGGCGGGUUUGCAAGUCAGGCGUGAAAACUAUCGGCUCAACCGGUAGCCUGCGUUUGAAACUGUGAAUCUUGAGUGGUGAAGAGGUAAGCGGAAUUCCUAGUGUAGCGGUGAAAUGCGUAGAUAUUAGGAGGAACACCAGUGGCGAAGGCGGCUUACUGGGCACUAACUGACGCUGAGGCACGAAAGCAUGGGGAGCAAACAGGAUUAGAUACCCUGGUAGUCCAUGCCGUAAACGAUGAUUACUAGGUGUAGGGGGUAUCGACCCCCCCUGUGCCGGAGUUAACACAAUAAGUAAUCCACCUGGGGAGUACGGCCGCAAGGUUGAA
Molecule: ribosomal RNA, 376 nt
Filed under: uncultured bacterium
Lineage: Bacteria
Description: bacterial SSU rRNA
Rfam family: Bacterial small subunit ribosomal RNA
Source: RNAcentral